AGGGAAUCUUCCACAAUGGACGCAAGUCUGAUGGAGCAACGCCGCGUGAGUGAAGAAGGCUUUCGGGUCGUAAAACUCUGUUAUUGAAGAAGAACGUGUGUGACAGUAACUGGUCAUGCAGUGACGGUAUUCAAUCAGAAAGUCACGGCUAACUACGUGCCAGCAGCCGCGGUAAUACGUAGGUGGCAAGCGUUGUCCGGAUUUAUUGGGCGUAAAGCGAGUGCAGGCGGUCUUUUAAGUCUGAUGUGAAAGCCUUCGGCUUAACCGAAGAAGGGCAUCGGAAACUGGGAGACUUGAGUGCAGAAGAGGA
RNAcentral lists this ribosomal RNA (310 nucleotides) under uncultured bacterium. RNAcentral's name for it is "partial 16S ribosomal RNA". It matches the Rfam family "Bacterial small subunit ribosomal RNA", at positions 356 to 658 of the family's 1533-position model. The record is from RNAcentral.